AGGAUAAACGCUGGCGGCGUGCCUAACACAUGCAAGUCGAGCGAGGCCCGUCCUUCGGGACGGUGCCCUAGCGGCGAACGGGUGAGUAACACGUGGGCAACCUGCCCCUAGCACUGGGAUAACUCCGGGAAACCGGGGCUAAUACCGGAUAUGACCUUUGAGGGCAUCCUCGAAGGUGUAAAGGACUCUGGCUAGGGAUGGGCCCGCGGCCUAUCAGCUUGUUGGUGGGGUAACGGCCUACCAAGGCGACGACGGGUA
Molecule: ribosomal RNA, 258 nt
Filed under: uncultured bacterium
Lineage: Bacteria
Description: partial small subunit ribosomal RNA
Rfam family: Bacterial small subunit ribosomal RNA
Source: RNAcentral